UUUAAGAUCCAAGACACAACCAUAAUAUCAGCUCUUUGGCAUUACCAAAUCCCAACUUAUCCUUUGCUUUAAGAGUAAUUAUCAUUGACUGAAUCCAUGAAAGAUAAUUCCCGCCAGUUGGAGGAAUGCUUACCAAAUUCAAGCUAGGAUGAUCAGAGUUUUGCAGAUUCAGUGGAUCAUUACUCAGAUCGGCUGUUGCCUCUUGACCUUCAUUUCUUGGAUCCACAACAAUGCUAAGCUCCUUCCAUCGAACUCUUAUCUCAGACAAUCAGGAAGAUUACUGCAACUGAUCUAGGCAAAGAACGAGAAACAAACAGGAAUUACUGUAAUUGUAAAGCCCUCAUGCUCUGAUACCAUAAAAAGUAUCAUCAAAGCAGAGCAAAGAAAAGAAAAAACCAGAGUUCUAAUGAAUGAAAUUGUCAUAUAUUUAUCAAUAGCUGAAAAGUGUUUAUAUACAAGAUGGGAAAAAAAAAAAAA
Molecule: unclassified non-coding RNA, 477 nt
Filed under: Hevea brasiliensis (rubber tree)
Lineage: Eukaryota; Viridiplantae; Streptophyta; Magnoliopsida; Malpighiales; Euphorbiaceae
Source: RNAcentral